CGAGUCGCAUUCGCGAAUCGAAACACUCUUGAGUUUCAGACAGCAGAUUGCAAUGCGGCAAUCUUUACGAAAAAUGGUGGACUUGCGGCAAUGAUCGACCACUCGAUCGAGAGUCGAGAAGAAGAAAGAACAGACUGUCUAUCGCGUGACGACGAGAUCGCCCUUUCGAGAUUACGUCCACGGCAUACUGCACGAGCACCCCGCGUUUUCAGGUGACCUUCGACACGCGAAACGUCUAGCUCUGCGGCUUGUGGCCUGAAAUUCAAAGUGAUUUAACCAAUGCUUAACGCUCAGGCUACAAAGCACGUGCUAGGCUACCACAUGGGUACCACCACUACUUCAAAAUUCAUUUGUGUCCAAGUCAAGCUUCGAUCAAAUUAACCGAGUGACGAUGACACCGAGGCUGAACGAUCCCAUCUGAGCUCUGUUAUGGAAAGUUACGAUAAUGUCGAACGCUCCGACAUUAUAACUCGAAAUCUGGAUACGAUUUUUACACGUUGCGCUACGACGAUGUUCAACAACAAAUUUAGAAUCGCGCAAAUGCGACUGCAGCAAAAUUGACUGCAGGGCUGCCUGUUGUUUUACGUGCGAAUCUAAUCCAUUGCUGCACCCAUGUAUUGCUACUCGUCAUCGUGAGACUUGUUAUCCAUUCUUACAUAACCAAAAGAGCUAUAGUCAUCAUUUUGAUCCUUGAUUAGCGAAUAAGCGACGUAUGUACUACCUAUUAUUAUAUUGUCGAGAGCAGAAAGAAAACAUCUUACUUUCUACGUGCGGGUGUAAACCUUGCAUGUGAUUACGUCCUCUCGGUUCUAAGUCCUGCUUCGAAUACUCGAGCCGAUCGAAUCGUAUAACUGGUAUAGAGAAAAACGGAAAGCAGAAUCGCAGAUCCCAAUCGGUGAGGUGCUUUGGAAAAAAAUGUCAAAAGAUAGUUCCAGAUGGAUAGAUACACAAGGACGGAAGACGAGGCGAAGACCUUCGUACAAUAGUGAUUCCAUUGUUCAUGUACACUGACGUUGGCGAAGAAAUCUUUAAUGCUGCUCAAAUAACCCAUUUAUAUAAGUGGGACACACUGUGAAUGUACGAUGACCUCGUCUUUGCACCUGAUACUUUUUUAUCAGUGGAUUAACAGUGAUAUAAAGAAUUUAAAUCGAAAAGUAGAAUAAGAAAUAAAGAUAAAUAAGAAGCAAGUAUGGAUGAAAUCAAGAAAACGAUAGAAGAAUACAAAAGGGAAAAGCAAAUGAGGAAAGUGAUACUGAAGGAAACUGCAAUGCACAAGCAUAUCGGGAUAUACUAUUAUUUUUUCAACCAUUAUCAAGUAAAGCUCUACUUUUUAAGAUUCUCUCUCUCUCUCUCUCCUCCUUUCUCAUAGUACUUGACACGCGUGUUAAGUGUGCGACGGAAACUCGCUAGUCUUCUCUAGAAUGUAUGGCACGAGCUUGUCCUCGCGGCUUUCAGGAUGGGGACUGAUCGAUCCUAGCUAGCGUUGAAUACAACUUCGUAUCUCUUUCGGCAUUGUUAAUGAGUUAUCCCUCGUCUGAUUGUUGAAAUGAUUGAUUGAGAUGGCUGAUAUUCGGAAAGAAACAAGCACUUGCGCAAAAAAAUGCUCUUUUCUUUAAACUUCCUUACGUGUAAACUAUAAUGUAUGUAUAAACUUGCAAAUCAGUUUUCAAUGCUUGAAUCAAAUUUAAAUCAGGAUUCGAAAUUAAUUUAAUUAAGAUACACUUACUGUUAGGCAAAGAAUGUAUAUAUAAAAUCCAACGAUAAAAAUAGAAAGAAUUCGUAAAUUCAAAGAGAUUAAUAAUCACUACGAACGAGGGCAUCGAUAAGAUACUAUUAAAGACCGACAAUCUUAUAUAAGAAGAGUUAGCGUGGCUGUUAAAAUUUAAGUAAUUAGCCAACAAAUAUACCUAAUAUGAAUUUUAUGAUUUAUCAUUAAGCCAAUGUUUUUAGACAUGUACAUAUAUUUACAACUUGCUGACAAACUUGCUCACAAAAAUUUGCCCAGAAUAUUGACGGACUUUAAUAGUAUCUCAUCAGUGACGACGGCAAACGCUCAAGAUAACUCACAAGAAGAAUCAAGACGAAGCAUCGAAAACCGUUGGCACGAAUCCACGCGUAUUUAUUGCAAGGACUUCCAGCUAUGUGACAAACGAAUCGCAGACGCGUUUCACAGUCGGCGAUUCUGGAGGACAUUUUAUGGCUCCCGCGAGAGUCUCCGUCGCGGAGAGCAAUAAAAGCGACGUUAUUGACAUGAUACAGCCAUUAUCGCGCACAUGUUGACAAAUAUACAAUUGCAUAAAAUCCAUAACAAAAUACACAAAAAUUUGAAGAUACCUAUAAAAAAAGAGGACAUAUAAGAUAUAAAAAAAUAUUUUUUAAAAAUAUUAAAUUAAAUCGCAACUUUAGACAUAGAUAACAAAUACUUUUUUUUACGAUGAUUGUUCACAAGAUCACAAUUGAGAUUUACUAAUGAUUCAAUCAACUAAAUGACACAACUUUCUGUAAAUGAAUAAAAAAUUCAAUAAAUAACAGGAUUGGAUUAUUUAAGAUGAUUGAAAAAAGUAAAUAUCUCUUAUCGGUGACUCAUCGUGAUAACUGAAGAUUGUUGAAUCAUAAUAUGUAUCGUAAAACUCAUCGUUCCACGGGGAUCAUACGUUUAUACAUUAAUACGAGAAACGAAGGAAAAGUUAAUUUUAUCGCACAAAAACCAACGCCGUUCUUUCGGUAUUGAGGGAUGCAACGAGUACACACAAGAUGAUGACUCGCAAAGAAAUUGUACCACCAUCUGAUUGUGAAAGUUAAUUCGCGAAAUUUCACAUUACGUUUCUGUGCUUAAAAAUUUGUUCAAAUAACACAAUAUAGGUAUACCUUAGUCAUUAGUGUUAAAGAUCUAUUUCAGAAAUAACGUAACGUUCGUAAAUUAACGUAUAAUUAUACAUAAUUCCUACGCGAUUAAUGUUAACGAUAUGAUUAAUAAGUUGCAUGUUCAGAGGUAUAACAUUGUGGAGGCACUUUCAGCAUUUUCUCUGAUUUUCCUGUCUUUUUAAGUGAUCACACUCACGUGCUUCUUGUAACGUAAAAAUUACAUAUAGUUGCUUAUAUAUAUCAACAUUAGCAAAUCGUUAAUAAUGUAACAUUUUAAUUUCCUCCCAUCGCAAAAAAAUCACAUAAUAUAAUAUACACGAAGUUAUGAUUAUUCAUAAUAGAUGUGACUCACUUUUUCAUUGGGUCUACGAAAUACGAUAGCCUUAUCGCAUUUGUGCUAGUAAAUUACGUGCGCGUACUCUUUCAUGUCGGUAAUUAUACUGGUAUAAUCAUACAAAAGCAAUCAUACACUCACGAUGAAUCGUUUCAAUAAGACCUAAUAAACUAGACGAUACUUGGUUGCAUGUGUUAUGAUACAUAGCAGAUGAUAUGCAGCGUGAUAGAAUCGAUAAAAUGUAUACGAAUCAAGGAAUUAUGUAUAAACAAUUAUAACAUGAAAAAUCGGUAUAUACGAGUAAAUCUAUUACAAUUAAAUGAAUCAUUUGCCAAAUGUAGCUAUUUCAUAGAAAACUAAAUAUAAUCCACAAUAAAAAUCAACUUAUUUAGAA
Molecule: long non-coding RNA, 3593 nt
Organism: Wasmannia auropunctata (little fire ant)
Lineage: Eukaryota; Metazoa; Arthropoda; Insecta; Hymenoptera; Formicidae
Exons: 3
Source: RefSeq, a predicted model, not a curated record